Molecule: ribosomal RNA, 599 nt
Filed under: Saccharomyces cerevisiae (brewer's yeast)
Lineage: Eukaryota; Fungi; Ascomycota; Saccharomycetes; Saccharomycetales; Saccharomycetaceae
Description: partial large subunit ribosomal RNA
Rfam family: Eukaryotic large subunit ribosomal RNA
Source: RNAcentral
CAAAAGCGGAGGAAAAGAAACCAACCGGGAUUGCCUUAGUAACGGCGAGUGAAGCGGCAAAAGCUCAAAUUUGAAAUCUGGUACCUUCGGUGCCCGAGUUGUAAUUUGGAGAGGGCAACUUUGGGGCCGUUCCUUGUCUAUGUUCCUUGGAACAGGACGUCAUAGAGGGUGAGAAUCCCGUGUGGCGAGGAGUGCGGUUCUUUGUAAAGUGCCUUCGAAGAGUCGAGUUGUUUGGGAAUGCAGCUCUAAGUGGGUGGUAAAUUCCAUCUAAAGCUAAAUAUUGGCGAGAGACCGAUAGCGAACAAGUACAGUGAUGGAAAGAUGAAAAGAACUUUGAAAAGAGAGUGAAAAAGUACGUGAAAUUGUUGAAAGGGAAGGGCAUUUGAUCAGACAUGGUGUUUUGUGCCCUCUGCUCCUUGUGGGUAGGGGAAUCUCGCAUUUCACUGGGCCAGCAUCAGUUUUGGUGGCAGGAUAAAUCCAUAGGAAUGUAGCUUGCCUCGGUAAGUAUUAUAGCCUGUGGGAAUACUGCCAGCUGGGACUGAGGACUGCGACGUAAGUCAAGGAUGCUGGCAUAAUGGUUAUAUGCCGCCCGUCUUGAA